Molecule: long non-coding RNA, 243 nt
Filed under: Gossypium raimondii (Peruvian cotton)
Lineage: Eukaryota; Viridiplantae; Streptophyta; Magnoliopsida; Malvales; Malvaceae
Description: long non-coding RNA (GRAI_LNC009335)
Source: RNAcentral
UAUUUUUUUCUUUCUUUCCCCAAGUUUUUCGAUUUUCAUUUCCCUUAUUCUUCCUCUUUUGUUUUUCUUCUUUUCCUUUCUUUUUCUUCAUUUUUUAUUAAGUAUUGAGACUACCAUUUAUUUCGUGUGUUCUAUUACGCUUGGAUCGUAUUUCGUACGCUGUGUAAGUUUCGCUUGAUUACUUUUUCUGUUUCUUUUAACGUUAUUUUAGUCUUAGUUCAUUCUUGGAAAAAUUGGGAUUUU